Molecule: ribosomal RNA, 2256 nt
Filed under: Salmonella enterica
Lineage: Bacteria; Pseudomonadati; Pseudomonadota; Gammaproteobacteria; Enterobacterales; Enterobacteriaceae
Description: partial 23S ribosomal RNA
Rfam family: Bacterial large subunit ribosomal RNA
Source: RNAcentral
UCGCGUAGCGAAAGCGAAUGCUUUGGGGUGGGGUGACUGCGUACCUUUUGUAUAAUGGGUCAGCGACUUAUAUUCUGUAGCAAGGUUAACCGAAUAGGGGAGCCGGAGGGAAACCGAGUCUUAAUUGGGCGUUAAGUUGCAGGGUAUAGACCCGAAACCCGGUGAUCUAGCCAUGGGCAGGUUGAAGGUUGGGUAACACUAACUGGAGGACCGAACCGACUAAUGUUGAAAAAUUAGCGGAUGACCUGUGGCUGGGGGUGAAAGGCCAAUCAAACCGGGAGAUAGCUGGUUCUCCCCGAAAGCUAUUUAGGUAGCGCCUCGUGAAUUCAUCUCCGGGGGUAGAGCACUGUUUCGGCUAGGGGGCCAUCCCGGCUUACCAACCCGAUGCAAACUGCGAAUACCGGAGAAUGUUAUCACGGGAGACACACGGCGGGUGCUAACGUCCGUCGUGAAGAGGGAAACAACCCAGACCGCCAGCUAAGGUCCCAAAGUCAUGGUUAAGUGGGAAACGAUGUGGGAAGGCCCAGACAGCCAGGAUGUUGGCUUAGAAGCAGCCAUCAUUUAAAGAAAGCGUAAUAGCUCACUGGUCGAGUCGGCCUGCGCGGAAGAUGUAACGGGGCUAAACCAUGCACCGAAGCUGCGGCAGCGACGCUUAUGCGUUGUUGGGUAGGGGAGCGUUCUGUAAGCCUGCGAAGGUGGCCUGUGAGGGUUGCUGGAGGUAUCAGAAGUGCGAAUGCUGACAUAAGUAACGAUAAAGCGGGUGAAAAGCCCGCUCGCCGGAAGACCAAGGGUUCCUGUCCAACGUUAAUCGGGGCAGGGUGAGUCGACCCCUAAGGCGAGGCCGAAAGGCGUAGUCGAUGGGAAACGGGUUAAUAUUCCCGUACUUGGUGUUACUGCGAAGGGGGGACGGAGAAGGCUAUGUUGGCCGGGCGACGGUUGUCCCGGUUUAAGCGUGUAGGCUGGUUUUCCAGGCAAAUCCGGAAAAUCAAGGCUGAGGCGUGAUGACGAGGCACUACGGUGCUGAAGCAACAAAUGCCCUGCUUCCAGGAAAAGCCUCUAAGCAUCAGGUAACAUCAAAUCGUACCCCAAACCGACACAGGUGGUCAGGUAGAGAAUACCAAGGCGCUUGAGAGAACUCGGGUGAAGGAACUAGGCAAAAUGGUGCCGUAACUUCGGGAGAAGGCACGCUGACACGUAGGUGAAGUGAUUUACUCAUGGAGCUGAAGUCAGUCGAAGAUACCAGCUGGCUGCAACUGUUUAUUAAAAACACAGCACUGUGCAAACACGAAAGUGGACGUAUACGGUGUGACGCCUGCCCGGUGCCGGAAGGUUAAUUGAUGGGGUCAGCGCAAGCGAAGCUCCUGAUCGAAGCCCCGGUAAACGGCGGCCGUAACUAUAACGGUCCUAAGGUAGCGAAAUUCCUUGUCGGGUAAGUUCCGACCUGCACGAAUGGCGUAAUGAUGGCCAGGCUGUCUCCACCCGAGACUCAGUGAAAUUGAACUCGCUGUGAAGAUGCAGUGUACCCGCGGCAAGACGGAAAGACCCCGUGAACCUUUACUAUAGCUUGACACUGAACAUUGAGCCUUGAUGUGUAGGAUAGGUGGGAGGCUUUGAAGUGUGGACGCCAGUCUGCAUGGAGCCGACCUUGAAAUACCACCCUUUAAUGUUUGAUGUUCUAACGUGGACCCGUUACCCGGGUUGCGGACAGUGUCUGGUGGGUAGUUUGACUGGGGCGGUCUCCUCCUAAAGAGUAACGGAGGAGCACGAAGGUUGGCUAAUCCUGGUCGGACAUCAGGAGGUUAGUGCAAUGGCAUAAGCCAGCUUGACUGCGAGCGUGACGGCGCGAGCAGGUGCGAAAGCAGGUCAUAGUGAUCCGGUGGUUCUGAAUGGAAGGGCCAUCGCUCAACGGAUAAAAGGUACUCCGGGGAUAACAGGCUGAUACCGCCCAAGAGUUCAUAUCGACGGCGGUGUUUGGCACCUCGAUGUCGGCUCAUCACAUCCUGGGGCUGAAGUAGGUCCCAAGGGUAUGGCUGUUCGCCAUUUAAAGUGGUACGCGAGCUGGGUUUAGAACGUCGUGAGACAGUUCGGUCCCUAUCUGCCGUGGGCGCUGGAGAACUGAGGGGGGCUGCUCCUAGUACGAGAGGACCGGAGUGGACGCAUCACUGGUGUUCGGGUUGUCAUGCCAAUGGCACUGCCCGGUAGCUAAAUGCGGAAGAGAUAAGUGCUGAAAGCAUCUAAGCACGAAACUUGCCCCGA